UUUUGUUUUACGCAAACCCAGAUGGCACAGCAGUUUCUACUGAGGAUGCACUCAGGCAGGUCAUCAGCUGGUCACAUUACAAAUCUGUUGCAGCAAAUAUGGGAUGUGAAAAGCCUGUAAUUCAUAAGUCAGAUAAUUUAAAAGAAAAUGGAUUUGGUGAUCAGGCAAAGCAGAGAGAAAAUCAGAAAUUUCCAACUGAUAGUAUUUCAUCAUCUAAUCGGAGCCACAGUCACACAGGUGCAGGGAAAGGACCAGCUAAGUUAAGUCACAUUGAUCAAAGGGAAAAGAUAAAAGACAUUUCCAGAGAAUGUGCUCUGAAAGCUAUUGAACAGAAAAACUUACUUUCUUCACAAAGGAAAGAUUUAGAGAAGGGACAAAGAAAAGAUUUAGGACGACAUAGAGAUUUGGUUGAUGAAGACCUUUCACAUUUCCAAUCUGGAUCACCUCCUGCCCCAAAUGGUUUUAGACAACAUGGGAAUCCACAUCUAUAUCAUAGUCAAGGAAAAGGAUCAUAUAAACAUGACCGAGUUGUACCUCAGACUCGAGCUUCUGCACAAAUAAUAAGUUCAAGUAAAUCCCAGAUUCUUGCUCCAGGAGAGAAAAUAACUGGCAAAGUUAAGAGUGACAAUGGCACUGGAUAUGACACAGACAGCAGCCAAGAUUCUAGGGAUAGAGGAAACAGCUGUAAUAGCAGCAGUAAAAGCCGGAACCGAGGUUGGAAACCUAUGAGAGAAACAUUAAAUGUUGAUAGUAUUUUUAGUGAAAGUGAAAAAAGACAGCAUAGUCCAAGACAUAAACCAAAUAUCAGUAAUAAGCCUAAAUCUAGCAAGGAUCCAAGUUUUAGUAAUUGGCCAAAAGAGAAUCCAAAGCAAAAAUGUUUAAUGACCAUAUAUGAAGAUGAAAUGAAGCAGGAAAUAGGAAGCAGAAGUUCCCUUGAAUCUAAUGAAAAAGGAGCAGAGAAAAAUAAAGGCCUUGUAGAGGGUAAAGUGCAUGGUGAUAAUUGGCAGAUGCAAAGGACUGAGUCUGGAUAUGAAAGCAGUGAUCACAUCAGUAAUGGAUCUACUAAUUUGGACUCACCUGUUAUCGAUGGAAAUGGUACAGUAAUGGAUAUCAGUGGUGUUAAAGAAACAGUAUGCUUCAGGUAAUGUAAAAGUUGAGUGAAUCGUUUUUCCAUCACUCUUCUUUUUUGUUAAUUGCAUGAAGUAAUUUUCAAAGUUUGGGGUCAAUUAAAUAGGAUGGAAACAGCAUGAGCUGUUUUAAAGAGCUUUAAAAAGUUUGUUUCUUUUAAACACAAAUAUGUUUCUGUAAAGAAACCUAGGAUAUUGUAGUUUAUUUGAUAUUUUAGAUUUCCAUUUUUAAUAGUUAUUUCCUGAUUCCAAAAAUAGCAGCUUUUUAUUUUUAGAAAAUUUGGAAAGUACAGAAGUUUUUUAUCAUUGUUGUGGCACUGUCAACAAUUGAUUGGUUUUAAAGCACAGACUUCAGUUGGUAUCAUCUAAGUCAUUAAGUUGGUUGUUUAAUUCUUCUUUUUUUGGUGGGAGGGGAAGGAGUCUCACUCUGUUGCCCAGGCUGGAGUGCAGCGGUGCAAUUAUGGGUCACUGCAACCUCCACCUCCCAGGUUCAAGCGAUUCUGCUGCCUUAACUUCCCAAGUAGCUGGGACUAUAGACACGCACCACCACGCCUGGCUAAUUUUUGUAUUUUUAGAGAUGGGGUUUCGCCAGGCUGCUCUUGAACUCCCAACCUCAGGUGAUCCACCUGCCUUGGCCUCCCAAAGUGCUGGGAUUACAGGCCUGAGCCACUAUGCCCAGGCUGUAGUUUAAUUCUUCAAUCUAUAUAAUGUUUAUAAUCCCAUCUCUAACAUUUGUAACUCAGAACUGAAGCUAGUUUUUACUGUCACACCUCAUUCUCAUGGAAGAGAUAUUUUCCCUUUAGCAAAUAUAAAAAAAAUCAGCCAAAUAACUUUGUGUUCAAUUAAUUCUAAAUACAUUUAUUAUAUUACUGUUUAAUCCUUCUAACAAUGUGUUUGUUGGAUAUUAGCUGAUAUUUGACCACAUUUGUUAUUAAAAGGUAGAUUUGCAAAAAUCAACUGCUCAUGUUUUAUGAAAAUGCUUGUUUCAAUAAAGACUUAAAGAAAGGGCCAGGUGUAGUGAUUACACACCUGUAAUCACAGCACCUUGGGAGGCUGAGGCAGGAGGAUUGCUUGAGCCCAGGAGUUCAAGACUAGCCUGAGCAACAUGGAAAGAUCUCACCAUCUCUAGGAAACAGUUUUAAAAUAUUAGCCAGGUAUUGUGGCAUAUGCCUGUGAUUCCAGCUACUUGGGAGGCUGAGGUGGGAGGAUCUUUUGAGCCCAGGAGGUCGAGGCCGCAGUGAACCAUGUUUGUACCACUGCACUCAAUCCUGGGCAAAAGAGCAGAAAGUCCUGGCUCAAAAAAAAAAA
This 2435-nucleotide small RNA is filed under the name Pongo abelii (Sumatran orangutan). RNAcentral describes it as "retained intron". The record is from RNAcentral. Lineage: Eukaryota; Metazoa; Chordata; Mammalia; Primates; Hominidae.